GUUUAAUUCGAAGAUACACGAAGUAACCUUACCAGGUCUUGACAUACCAUUGACAGGUCUAGAGAUAGACUCUCCGUUCGGGCAAUGGAUACAGGUGGUGCAUGGUUGUCGUCAGCUCGUGCCGUGAGGUGUUGGGUUAAGUCCCGCAACGAGCGCAACCCUCAUUGUUAGUUACUACCAUUCAGUUGAGGACUCUAAUGAGACUGCCAACGACAAGUUGGAGGAAGGUGGGGAUGACGUCAAAUCAUCAUGCCCUUUAUGACCUGGGCUACAAACGUACUACAAUGGCCAAUACAAAGAGAUGCGAAGCGGUGACGUGGAGCGAACCUCAGAAAGUUGGUCUCAGUUCAGAUUGAAGUCUGCAACUCGACUUCAUGAAGGCGGAAUCGCUAGUAAUCGCGGGUCAGCAGACCGCGGUGAAUACGUUCCCGGGUUUU
Molecule: ribosomal RNA, 437 nt
Filed under: uncultured Mollicutes bacterium
Lineage: Bacteria; Bacillati; Mycoplasmatota; Mollicutes
Description: bacterial SSU rRNA
Rfam family: Bacterial small subunit ribosomal RNA
Source: RNAcentral